This 21-nucleotide non-coding RNA is filed under the name Arabidopsis thaliana (thale cress). Lineage: Eukaryota; Viridiplantae; Streptophyta; Magnoliopsida; Brassicales; Brassicaceae. The record is from RNAcentral.
UUUUUUCACCUACCUCCACUA